Molecule: ribosomal RNA, 492 nt
Filed under: uncultured bacterium
Lineage: Bacteria
Description: partial 16S ribosomal RNA
Rfam family: Bacterial small subunit ribosomal RNA
Source: RNAcentral
AGUGAACGCUGGCGGUAGGCCUAACACAUGCAAGUCGAACGGCAGCACAGUAAGAGCUUGCUCUUACGGGUGGCGAGUGGCGGACGGGUGAGGCAUACAUCGGAAUCUACUUUUUCGUGGGGGAUAACGUAGGGAAACUUACGCUAAUACCGCAUACGACCUACGGGUGAAAGCAGGAGAUCUUCGGACCUUGCGCGAUUGAAUGAGCCGAUGUCGGAUUAGCUAGUUGGCGGGGUAAAGGCCCACCAAGGCGACGAUCCGUAGCUGAUCUGAUAGGAUGAUCGGCCACACUGGAACGGAGGCACGGUCCAAGCUCCGACGGGAGGAGCCAGUAGGGAAUAUUCAGCAAGGGGCGAAAGCUGGAGGGUGCAACACCGCGUGAGAGAUAGAGGUCUUCGGAUCGUAAAACUCUGUUAUUAGGGAAGAACAAAUGUGUAAGUAACUAUGCACGUCUUGACGGUACCUAAUCAGAAAGCCAGGGCUAGCUACGUG